Molecule: RNA transcript, 1981 nt
Organism: Athalia rosae (coleseed sawfly)
Lineage: Eukaryota; Metazoa; Arthropoda; Insecta; Hymenoptera; Athaliidae
Gene name: serine/arginine repetitive matrix protein 1-like
Exons: 11
Source: RefSeq, a predicted model, not a curated record
UGAGGUAUAAUGCACGAUAAAAAUGCGGAAUCAUUAAAGUUCAAUCAGUAGUCUAAAAUAUGUCAGGAUUCAAAGAAAAAACUUGGAAAAAAUGUAAAGAGAAUGAUACAACCUCUUCGGACGCUGUCACUGAAAAUAAGACUAGCGACAGCAUUCGCAGUCAAAGAAGUUCGUCGCUAAUUCGAUCGAGAAAGCGCCACUGGUUUCGAAGCGACGAAGACGAUACCUUUUCGGCCGAGAGUCACGAGAUUUUAAUUCCCGGAGUGCCAGUCGAACUUAUCGACGAAAACAGUAUAAACGACGAUAAACAUCAUAGACGGAAAUCGUGCAAGCCGAAAAAUGAUUUAAGUAAAACGACCUCUCCAUUCGACACAUUCGCCCCGACGAGAAAUCCUUUCCAUCAGGACACCGGGAUAAUCGUACAAUUCGGAGUUAUCAAGGAUAAUAAAGUCAAAAACGGGAAUACCAACGAAAUGUGGGGAGAGCUACCGUCCUCCGAAGUGGCAGAAAGUCCCAAACCCAAACGGCAAAAGGGACCGAAAGGGGGAAGCAAGCAGCGGGUGGCAACCCGCAAAUCGAAACAGAAGCCAUUGGCUCCUCCGCCUUCUCCGUCCAGUGAAAACUCACCGCCACCUCCGCCUCCGCCUCCGCCACCGCCACCUCCGCCACCUCCGCCGGUACCUCAUCAUCCCUCUCCGGUUCCUUCUACCCUACAUCAUGGCCCUUCUGGACACUCGACUACGCCGGGACAAUCGCAUCAUCCCGAAUCGUCAGCCGCACCCCCGAAUCCCGCAGGGACUGGCGCUUGCGGUUCACCCGCAUGUCCUGCUCGUAGCGUUGUACCGAAACAAAAAGAGAGACUUUGCAUGGCUCCCGAUUGUCCGGUUACGAUGAAAAAAGCUGUUAUAAAGGAAGCUAAGAAGGCAAUGAAAAAUUCCUGUAAAAAGAAGAGGAAGAAUCCUAUCAUGAUAUUGGGGGCAGUUCUCAUGAACACCUUCGCAGGUCACGAUUCUCCGUGUAAGCUUACCAAGGAGGAGAAGAAAAAGUUGAAGAAAAUGGAACGGGACGAAAGGGACAAAAAUCAGGAGGGGGCCAGUGGACCAAACAGAAGGUCGAAGGGUGUUCAAUGCAAACCACCGCCACCGGUGAAGCAGCUUAAGGAAGAAGGUCCUAAAAAGGCAGAUAAAUCAACCACUUGUGAUAUACCCGAGUGUCCGAUUGUUCAGCAGAAGAAAAAAGCCAAGGAAUAUGUGAACAAAGGACAGCUCUGCGAUUUACCCAGCUGUCCCGUCAAGGCGCCACCACCGAAGAAGGAGAAAAAGGUCCGAGAGCCGCCCCCGCCGAAAGGAUGUCCUUCGAAACCGUGCUCACUGAAACCGAAGGACGAGGAAUUUUUACGGCAGUUAGGCCCUUCGAUUUUCGAAAAAAAUCCACGGUUGAAAAUGAACUGCGAGCAAUCACUGGCUGAAACCACAGGGGGACUUUCGCAGCCUCAUCGCGCUCACAAUCAGACUGAUACGAAAAACGGAGAUAACCCACUCGAGACUAAGACGAAGGAGAGAGAGAAGGGGGUGACAAUAGUCGCGGCUCAUGUCCGAGUACCGCCACCAGCCAACAACCCUUUCCAACCAAUUAUUAGCCACCCCCGAGAGAUCGCUGCCGCGUCCAGAAAGACAGUCGAACUUCAAACUCUGGAGAAUAGGCAACCCUGCUCAGGUAAAAAUAUCAACAGCGACGGAUUUCUCGAGACAAAUUGAACCUGAGGGUGUGAGAGGUGAGUGUUUAAAAACUCGAAUAUUAGCCAAUACUGAAAAUAUGGAAGGAUUAUCAUUCAAAUCGACUAGUCAACACCCAUCGAAGAGGAAAAAUUCUGACGAGAUAUGUAUACAAACGUUAGCGACAAGUGCUAUUUCUCCUGGCGAAUUGAAGACGAUUGGCAUUGUUACUUCCGCGAUUGUAGACUAGGAAACUUGCCGGAAAG